GUCUGACCUGCUCAUGAUUUUAUUAAAUAGCCGCAGUACUUUGACUGUGCAAAGGUAGCAUAAUCAUUUGUCUUUUAAUUGAAGGCUUGUAUGAAUGGUCUGAUGAAAAUUUGACUUUCUUUUUAUUAAUUUAUUGAAUUUAACUUCUUAGUCAAAAGGCUAAGAUUUUUGAAUGGGACGAGAAGACCCUAUAGAAUUUUAUUUUUAUUUAUAUUUUAAUAAUUGGAUUUUUUUAUUAUUUUAUAUUUGAAAAUUUUGUUGGGGCGACAGGAUGAUUUUUAUAACUCAUUUAUUUAAAUGAUUAUUGAUUAAUAAAUUAUUGAUCCUUAAUAUUAGGAUUUAUAGAUUAAAUUACUUUAGGGAUAACAG
RNAcentral lists this ribosomal RNA (369 nucleotides) under Edessa meditabunda. RNAcentral's name for it is "partial 16S ribosomal RNA". The record is from RNAcentral. Lineage: Eukaryota; Metazoa; Arthropoda; Insecta; Hemiptera; Pentatomidae.